UUUAGUCGACAGCAAAUGGCAAACUGGACGUACCUGAGAUGGAUAAAAGCGGGUGACUUUUACUGCUGAAUUAAUAUAUUUAUUGUUAACUGUUUUUUUUUAGUUCCCCUUUUAACUGUUAGCUCUAAGACAAGCGAGCGCAUUGCUAAUGCACUUUGGGAUAAUUGUAACAAACUGUGUUCAGACAGCCACAUUCAAGCGACGUGAGUUUUCACCUUCACAAGUAACUGAUCAUCCCAUCUACCAACCAAGCUUCUACUCUGACUACCGGAUAAAACCUCUGCCCCAGCUCUGAACCAAGCUAAUACAAAAACUCCGAAAGUUGCUCGACCCGAACGAACACUUAUAACCGUCACACCUGUCAAGCUGACAUUGGAAGCAGAGCAAAAGAUGAAUCUUGAGAAGUUGUUUUUGACCAAAGGAGCUGCAUUCCAGUUUCCGAAUAUCCAGACUGUCUGGGCAGAACAUCAGCAACUGGAGAGGGGUCGCUUGCAACUUGUUAAUGGUGACGGUGGUGCUGGUCAGUGUCAUGGUACGAGAAUCCUGCAACGUGAUGUUGACGCAGUAGG
Molecule: long non-coding RNA, 569 nt
Organism: Hippocampus comes (tiger tail seahorse)
Lineage: Eukaryota; Metazoa; Chordata; Actinopteri; Syngnathiformes; Syngnathidae
Exons: 4
Source: RefSeq, a predicted model, not a curated record